CAGCGGCAGGUUUUCCUUCCAGAAGCCCAAGGCAAUAAGGGCUGGGGCCAGAAGGACCUGGAACGUCAGAUCUGAGGUCCCUACUUGAGGGGUUGGGACGGGCCCUGUGCUUGUGUGUGUCCAUCCUGAGUGGCUCUGAAAUGGAGACUUUCAGUUUCCCUUUCAGUCCCAUAUAUAUUUGGGCCCGGGAUUGUGUGUUAAUUACACACACCGCAGGUGACUGGGUCCACACGGCUAAAGAAAAGCCGGACGGUGUUCAGCUCAGAAGAUGAUUCCUUGGACAGCAGGACUGUGACCUGGCUUGGGAACAAGCUGGAGUGAGGUGAGUAACCUUCCUUAAAUAGCAGCCAGUAGAGGCCAGGAGACAGACGGACAUAUCAGGGUGAAGCGACCCCUCCUUCCGACCGGGACGCAGACGCAAGCUGGGGGGAAAAGUCUGAGAUCCCACUGCUGGCACCAUACCCAAGAAGCCUGUGGGCUCUACCCAGGUAG
Herpailurus yagouaroundi (jaguarundi) is the source of this 492-nucleotide long non-coding RNA. RefSeq lists it as uncharacterized. The record is from RefSeq and is a predicted model, not a curated record. Lineage: Eukaryota; Metazoa; Chordata; Mammalia; Carnivora; Felidae. The transcript has 3 exons.